Molecule: ribosomal RNA, 497 nt
Filed under: uncultured bacterium
Lineage: Bacteria
Description: partial 16S ribosomal RNA
Rfam family: Bacterial small subunit ribosomal RNA
Source: RNAcentral
GAUGAACGCUGGCGGCGUGCCUAAUACAUGCAAGUCGAGCGAACAGACGAGGAGCUUGCUCCUCUGACGUUAGCGGCGGACGGGUGAGUAACACGUGGAUAACCUACCUAUAAGACUGGGAUAACUUCGGGAAACCGGAGCUAAUACCGGAUAAUAUAUUGAACCGCAUGGUUCAAUAGUGAAAGACGGUUUUGCUGUCACUUAUAGAUGGAUCCGCGCCGCAUUAGCUAGUUGGUAAGGUAACGGCUUACCAAGGCAACGAUGCGUAGCCGACCUGAGAGGGUGAUCGGCCACACUGGAACUGAGACACGGUCCAGACUCCUACGGGAGGCAGCAGUAGGGAAUCUUCCGCAAAGGGCGAAAGCCUGACGGAGCAACGCCGCGUGAGUGAUGAAGGUCUUCGGAUCGUAAAACUCUGUUAUUAGGGAAGAACAAAUGUGUAAGUAACUAUGCACGUCUUGACGGUACCUAAUCUGAAAGCCACGGCUAACUACGUG